CCUGAUCCAGCCAUGCCGCGUGAGUGAUGAAGGCCCUAGGGUUGUAAAGCUCUUUCACCGGUGAAGAUAAUGACGGUAGCCGGAGAAGAAGCCCCGGCUAACUCCGUGCCAGCAGCCGCGGUAAUACGGAGGGGGCUAGCGUUGUUCGGAAUUACUGGGCGUAAAGCGCACGUAGGCGGGUAUCCAAGUUGGGGGUGAAAUCCCGGGGCUCAACCCCGGAACUGCCUCCAAAACUGGGUACCUAGAGUCCGAGAGAGGUGAGUGGAAUUCCCAGUGUAGAGGUGAAAUUCGUAGAUAUUGGGAAGAACACCAGUGGCGAAGGCGGCUCACUGGCUCGGUACUGACGCUGAGGUGCGACAGCGUGGGGAGCAAACAGGAUUAGAUACCCUGGUAGUCCACGCCGUAAACGAUGAGAGCUAGUUGUCGGGCAGCAUGCUGUUCGGUGACGCAGCUAACGCAUUAAGCUCUCCGCCUGG
RNAcentral lists this ribosomal RNA (476 nucleotides) under uncultured Parvibaculum sp. RNAcentral describes it as "bacterial SSU rRNA". It matches the Rfam family "Bacterial small subunit ribosomal RNA", at positions 382 to 876 of the family's 1533-position model. The record is from RNAcentral. Lineage: Bacteria; Pseudomonadati; Pseudomonadota; Alphaproteobacteria; Hyphomicrobiales; Parvibaculaceae.